UACGUAGGUGGCGAGCGUUGUCCGGAUUUACUGGGCGUAAAGAGCGCGCAGGCGGUCGUACAAGUCGCGUGUGAAAGCCCCCGGCUCAACUGGGGAGGGUCACGCGAUACUGUUCGACUCGAAGGCAGGAGAGGGAAGCGGAAUUCCCGGUGUAGCGGUGGAAUGCGUAGAGAUCGGGAAGAACAUCAGUGGCGAAGGCGGCCUGCUGGGCUGUUGCUGACGCUGAGGCGCGACAGCGUGGGGAGCAAACAGG
RNAcentral lists this ribosomal RNA (253 nucleotides) under uncultured bacterium. RNAcentral's name for it is "partial 16S ribosomal RNA". It matches the Rfam family "Bacterial small subunit ribosomal RNA", at positions 524 to 776 of the family's 1533-position model. The record is from RNAcentral.